RNAcentral lists this ribosomal RNA (470 nucleotides) under uncultured organism. RNAcentral's name for it is "partial 16S ribosomal RNA". It matches the Rfam family "Bacterial small subunit ribosomal RNA", at positions 333 to 800 of the family's 1533-position model. The record is from RNAcentral.
ACACUCCUGCGGGAGGCAGCAGUGAGGAAUAUUGGACAAUGGGUGGAAGCCUGAUCCAGCCAUCCCGCGUGCAGGAAGACGGCCCUAUGGGUUGUAAACUGCUUUUAUCUGGGGAUAAACCUACUUACGUGUAAGUAGCUGAAGGUACCAGAAGAAUAAGCACCGGCUAACUCCGUGCCAGCAGCCGCGGUAAUACGGAGGGUGCAAGCGUUAUCCGGAUUUAUUGGGUUUAAAGGGUCCGUAGGCGGACUGAUAAGUCAGUGGUGAAAUCCGACAGCUUAACUGUCGAACUGCCAUUGAUACUGUUAGUCUUGAGUAAGGUUGAAGUGGCUGGAAUAAGUAGUGUAGCGGUGAAAUGCAUAGAUAUUACUUAGAACACCAAUUGCGAAGGCAGGUCACUAAGUCUUAACUGACGCUGAUGGACGAAAGCGUGGGGAGCGAACAGGAUUAGAAACCUGGUAGUCCCAUGA